This 460-nucleotide ribosomal RNA is filed under the name uncultured bacterium. RNAcentral's name for it is "partial 16S ribosomal RNA". It matches the Rfam family "Bacterial small subunit ribosomal RNA", at positions 338 to 795 of the family's 1533-position model. The record is from RNAcentral.
CCUACGGGUGGCAGCAGUGAGGAAUAUUGGUCAAUGGGCGGGAGCCUGAACCAGCCAAGUCGCGUGAGGGAAGACGGUCCUAUGGAUUGUAAACCUCUUUAGGCGGGGAGCAAUGCCGGGCACGUGUGCCCGGAGGGAGAGUACCCGCAGAAUAAGCAUCGGCUAACUCCGUGCCAGCAGCCGCGGUAAUACGGAGGAUGCGAGCGUUAUCCGGAUUUAUGGGGGUUAAAGGGUGCGUAGGCGGAUUUUUAAGUCAGCGGUAAAAUGUCCGGGCUCAACCCGGGCCGGCCGUUGAAACUGGGGAUCUUGAGUGGGCGAGAAGUAGGCGGAAUGCGUGGUGUAGCGGUGAAAUGCAUAGAUAUCACGCAGAACUCCGAUUGCGAAGGCAGCAUACCGGCGCCCAACUGACGCUGAAGCACGAAAGCGUGGGUAUCGAACAGGAUUAGAUACCCUUGUAGUC